UGCAGUGUCACCUAACGGUAAGGUACUCAGCUCAUAACUGAGGAUAUGCGGGUUUAACUCCCGCCGCUGCGACCA
RNAcentral lists this transfer RNA (75 nucleotides) under Trichocoleus sp. FACHB-46. RNAcentral describes it as "tRNA-Ile". It matches the Rfam family "tRNA". From Rfam's summary of the family: Transfer RNA (tRNA) molecules are approximately 80 nucleotides in length. Their secondary structure includes four short double-helical elements and three loops (D, anti-codon, and T loops). The record is from RNAcentral. Lineage: Bacteria; Bacillati; Cyanobacteriota; Cyanophyceae; Leptolyngbyales; Trichocoleusaceae. RNAcentral also lists the same sequence under 1 other name.